RNAcentral lists this transfer RNA (72 nucleotides) under Patescibacteria group bacterium. RNAcentral's name for it is "tRNA-Ala". It matches the Rfam family "tRNA". From Rfam's summary of the family: Transfer RNA (tRNA) molecules are approximately 80 nucleotides in length. Their secondary structure includes four short double-helical elements and three loops (D, anti-codon, and T loops). Further hydrogen bonds mediate the characteristic L-shaped molecular structure. tRNAs have two regions of fundamental functional importance: the anti-codon, which is responsible for specific mRNA codon recognition, and the 3' end, to which the tRNAs corresponding amino acid is attached (by aminoacyl-tRNA synthetases). tRNAs cope with the degeneracy of the genetic code in two manners: having more than one tRNA (with a specific anti-codon) for a particular amino acid; and 'wobble' base-pairing, i.e. permitting non-standard base-pairing at the 3rd anti-codon position. RNAcentral also lists the same sequence under 1 other name. The record is from RNAcentral.
GGGCCAGUGGUUUAGUGGUAUAACGCCUCCUUUGCAAGGAGGAGGUCGCGGGUUCGAUUCCCGCCUGGUCCA